UAAUCUACUAGUAGACUGCAGACUUGGUACGUCUCAGAUAGGCAAUACAGGAAAAGAAUCUCUUAUCUAUUUCCUCUUCUCAUACUUGGAAGACUAUUUCUAUUCUCUCUCUCACACCUUCACUUCUUUCCUUUAUCCUGUCUUCUCUGUCGGUCCCUCCCUUCCUCCCUUUUCCUCUGCAGCUGCUACUGCCUCUGCCUCCCAUUUACUGCUGUAGUGAAUUCCUUCCUUCUUUUUCCAUUUUAAUAAUCUUCUUGAUUUUCUCAACCUCUUUAUCAUUUUUGAAGAUUUUCACUGAGAUCUUUACUGAAAUCUUGUUGGCUCUUGGAGAGUUAUUGGGAAUUUGAAGACUGCUGUUGUAAUUGGCGACCCAAAGCCAAACUCUUGAUUAUUGAAUUUUGUACAAGAUCAGCAGCUUCUUAUUGUCCAGCUUCAGGAGCAAAGAUGGCAUCUUUACAAGGGCCGGUGGUUUGCCCCGUGGUUCGUGCUAAACAAACUGGAGUUGACACUGUACCUUUUUAUACACCUUUGGGACUGGCUGCUAAAUUAGUUAGAGGUGGAUUCUUUGGGCUUCAAGUGAAUAAUAGGUUCAAUGUACCAAAUCAAACACCCCGCCAGACAAAGGUGAUCAGGUGUACCUUCAGUUCUUCAUCGAAUGGCAAUGGUAGCAAGGCAGGAAAUUUCAGUGAGAAUGAUGCAGAUUACGUAAAUUCCAGUGUGGUAGAAGCAGUUGAGGUGAGGAGUGGCCCAGAUGGUUUCAUGGUCAAGAUGAGGGAUGGUAGGCAUUUAAGGUGCGUGCAUAACAACCCCCAGAGUGGGCAUCUACCUGAUUAUGCUCCACAUCCUGCAAUUGUUCUGAAGAUGGAAGAUGGGACUGGUCUUCUUCUUCCGAUCAUUGUUUUGGAGAUGCCAAGUGUGCUCCUUAUGGCAGCUAUACGCAAUGUCCAAAUUGCUAGACCCACAAUGUACCAAGUGGUUAAGGAAAUGAUUGAUAAGAUGGGGUACACAGUGAAACUUGUUCGUGUGACUAAGAGAGUCCAUGAAGCAUAUUUUGCUCAGUUAUAUCUCUCAAAGUUGGGUGAUGAAACUGAGACUAUCAGCUUUGACCUUCGACCCUCAGAUGCAAUUAAUAUUGCUGUGAGAUGCAAGGUGCCAAUACAAGUCAACAAAUACCUGGCAUAUAGUGAUGGCAUGAGGAUUGUUGAAUCAGCAAAGCCAUCAAUGCAGGCUGUGGCUUCAGAUGGAUUUUUGUUUACAGAACUGGAUAGACCUUCUGGCCAACCAUGCAUUGAAACAAAGGAGUUUGAUCUCUUGCGCAAUAUGCUGAUUGCUGCUGUUGAGGAACGCUACCGUGAUGCAGGUAGACUUUUUGAUCACAUAGUUGUGGUACAUCAUUCUGGUUUGCAGGUUAGAUAAGAAUAUAUAGUGCAGAGUCUUGUACCUCUUCUAUCUGAUGUAUUCUGGUACUAAACUUAGUUGUAGUAAAUUUGCAACUUUUGUUGCUUUUUGUGUGUCAAUGUGAUUACCUAUUUUAGAAAACAUCAAAGCCAACUCCAGGUGAAGUAUGGAAUUUUGUUUGAUUGACAAAAGAUAGUGUCACUAGUUUGCAAUGCUUCUAAGACAAAUAAGUCAUUCGAUAAUGUUUAAUCAUUUUAAUUGAAAAAUGUUCAUGAUUGAGUUUUGUUUUCAUCCAUAAGCUUGGCUUCCCGUUGCAAAUACUACUGAAGGUAUGGAUUUCCAAAUAUUAAGCAACAGAAAGUUGCUGCAUCUUGUGCAUUUUCGUCAUGACGGAUAUCAAAAGUGAAGAAACUUUGAAGAUUUAGUUGAAAUUUCACUGUCAUACAUCACAUGUUGUCCUGGUUUUCCAAGUUAACAGCAAGAUAUUGAAUUGGUUAGUCUUGAUUUGAUUAGCUUUUGAGUUCUGAUUAUGAAUAUGCUACACUACAGCUCUGUGGAGGGAUAAGCUCACUCAGCUCCGAUCUAAGAGGAACUGGACAUAGUGAUAUUGUGGCUGAGAUGUUGCUGGAGGACGGAUUGUGUAAAUAGAAACCCAUUUGAUCGAAGUUGAUGAAGUCGAUAUUGUUGGGAAUCAUCAUCUCCACCUUCAAAUAUAUGCAUGUAUGUAGAAAGCUUGUGAAUAUAUGUAUAGGCAAACUUUCAUGGCAACGAUGAACUUUAUAAACACUGCGAUUUCUGCCUGGGUCGGAUAUUCUUGUUUCCAACUUUCUUUGAGGUUAUGCUGCUUAUCUGGCAAAUGGAUUAUCUGUCUAUUCUCUGUUC
Molecule: non-coding RNA, 2280 nt
Organism: Coffea arabica (coffee)
Lineage: Eukaryota; Viridiplantae; Streptophyta; Magnoliopsida; Gentianales; Rubiaceae
Source: RefSeq, a predicted model, not a curated record